This 401-nucleotide unclassified non-coding RNA is filed under the name Hevea brasiliensis (rubber tree). The record is from RNAcentral. Lineage: Eukaryota; Viridiplantae; Streptophyta; Magnoliopsida; Malpighiales; Euphorbiaceae.
CUCUCUCUCUCUCUCUCUCUCUCUAAAAUGACCACUGAUUUGCUGAGGCUUUCGAUCUUGCCUCGCCAGAAAUUUAGCUACGCCUACACCACAAGGCACCGUCUUGACUACACCUUUGACUUCAAUGCUGCUCACCUUCGGAAACGUUGCCGUUUCAUCCCCCGGCCAUGCGCCAUUCCUCGCCUCACUCUCUCCAACGUCAAACCUCAACUACAAGACACGCCGUUUCAAGUCCCUGAACGGCCCAAAGACUUGCAGGUUCUCCUUGACGUCUCUGGAAUGAUGUGCGGUGGGUGUGUCUCCCGUGUCAAGUCCUUGCUUUCCGCUGAUGAUCGAAUUGAAUCUGUCGUGGUCAACAUGUUGACCGAGACCGCUGCGUUAAAGUUGAAACCGGAGGCUUU